UACAGAGGUCUCGAGCGUUAGGCGGAAUCACUGGGCUUAAAGCGUGUGUAGGUGGAUCGUUAAGUACCUUGUGAAAUCCCACGGCUUAACCGUGGAACUGCUUGGUAUACUGGCGGUCUUGAGGGUCGAAGAGGAGAGUGGAAUUCCUGGUGUAGAGGUGAAAUUCGUAGAUAUCAGGAGGAACACCGGUGGCGAAGGCGGCCACCUGGACGGUCACUGACGCUGAGAUGCGAAAGCGUGGGGAGCAAACAGG
RNAcentral lists this ribosomal RNA (253 nucleotides) under uncultured bacterium. Its description in RNAcentral is "partial 16S ribosomal RNA". It matches the Rfam family "Bacterial small subunit ribosomal RNA", at positions 524 to 776 of the family's 1533-position model. The record is from RNAcentral.